Molecule: non-coding RNA, 767 nt
Organism: Cinara cedri
Lineage: Eukaryota; Metazoa; Arthropoda; Insecta; Hemiptera; Aphididae
Source: the annotation of a GenBank genome assembly
UAAUUCAAAAUAAAUACCUACUAAUAAUUAUUAUGAAUAGAGCACGGAUGUUGUAGUAGAAAAAAACUAGUAAAAUUGAUUGCAGUAUUGCACUAAAAAUAUUUAAAAUGACAAUUUCUGUACAACAGUGGAAAUAAUUGGCUAAUUUUCGGCAUAUUUAUAAAACAGGAACAAAAUGAUCUCUCAAAAUUCACAAGCUGACUGAAGAAUAGAUUAUCACAGUCAAACCGUCACAUUUCACAAAUUAUUUUUGUAUUGUAUUGAAUGUCUACCAACUUGAAAUUAUCAAAAUAAAAGUAAGAUACCAUUAUUAGAUUUUAUGGCUGACGAUAUUAUAGUAUAAUCUUAUUUAUACGACUGUCGAGUAUUCACACUAGCUAAAAUAGUUGUAUAAAUAAGUAAAUUGAACAAAAUUGCAAUAAAAUUGAAAAAAUUCCAAAAAUUGCACUUAAAACUUCUAGAUUUGAAUUCGUACUUAUAUACAACGUAUUAAAAACUUACUUAACGAUAAAUUGAAAAAGUAGAAAAAAAUUUACAAGUACAUCAACAUCCGUGCCCUAACUAUGAGGUAAGGAAAAAUCAUGAAUUUGUUAAUUUUGUUAAAUAACGCAAUCGCGUUGCUAUUUUCUUCGAUACGAAAUAUGUAAAAAUUGUGUUAUCUUCUAAGUCCCCGACAACAAACCCGUACACCAAUGAUAACUUUUCCAUUCCAAGACCUGUGCAGAACACCAAUAACAUGACUUUAUUAUAUUCCUACUCUCCCCCCC